AGCUGGUCAAUGAUGAUGUAUCCUUAUCUGCGUUAUCUUUCUGAAAAUCCUUUUUGAAGGAAUUGAAGAUGACUAUGAUACACUGAGAUCUCU
RNAcentral lists this small nucleolar RNA (93 nucleotides) under Ananas comosus (pineapple). RNAcentral's name for it is "Small nucleolar RNA snoR27". It matches the Rfam family "Small nucleolar RNA snoR27". Lineage: Eukaryota; Viridiplantae; Streptophyta; Magnoliopsida; Poales; Bromeliaceae. The record is from Rfam by way of RNAcentral.